This 784-nucleotide long non-coding RNA is filed under the name Gallus gallus (chicken). Its description in RNAcentral is "long non-coding RNA NONGGAT009467". Lineage: Eukaryota; Metazoa; Chordata; Aves; Galliformes; Phasianidae. The record is from RNAcentral.
UUUUUAAUGUAUUUUUUUUCCUUUUAAAUCAGCUUUUUAUUUUUUUUUUCUUCUAUAACUGUUAUUUCAAUUUCCCAUAGCACCUUGGCAAUGUCAAAAACAAAUACAAAUACAUGUAUCAUCAUCAUUUGAACAUUUAAAGCAUGGAACCUACUCGACACAGAUCUGUGGGGGUUGGUUUUUUUUGGGACAGGUUUGACAACAACCGGGACAGACAGGAGCCAGAUGGGUGCUUCUUUCUCCUUCCGCUCAGGCCCUGCCCUGUGAGGAGCUGGGAGAUGCUGUGGGGAAGCUGGACUCACCCGGGAGGAACACGAGGGCUGCACUCAGGAGCCAGACUCUGCUGCUGGGAAAUGUACAUCCAGGACACACACAGCAUCCUUUCCACGGUCAAGUUUCCCCAAUCACCAUUCAAGAAAGACUGAACUGCAGUUCCUCUUUUUCCACAAGUAAUAAAAUAAUGUUCUAAACAAAGUUCCAUUUCACAAUUGUUAAAAGCUCUGAUUCCACCUUGGAGCACUGUGUGGUUACCAGGUGCACUGCGAGCACCCCAGUGCUUCCUGGACCCCCAGUGACAGCACACAUUUACCCACACAUCUGUGACUAUCACAGGUUUUCCAGUUUGACUGCAGUCAUUUGUAGCCUUUAAAUGGAUCAAAAAAAAAAAAAAUCUGAACUCCAUUUCAGAACUUAAAACAUCUCAAAAUAUUUGAAUUUCUCUAUCAUUCCAACAAACGUAGCAUUACUGAAAUAAAUGGAGAAGGGUUCUGUAAGCAUUCCUAAG